GGCUUGUUAGCUCAGUUGGUAGAGCACUGCAUGGAUAUUACAGAGGUCAUGGGUUCAAAUCCCGUCCAGGCCU
Non-coding RNA from Pocillopora damicornis (cauliflower coral), 73 nucleotides. The record is from the annotation of a RefSeq genome assembly. NCBI's taxonomy places the organism in Eukaryota, Metazoa, Cnidaria, Anthozoa, Scleractinia, Pocilloporidae.